CCUACGGGCGGGCAGCAGUGGGGAAUAUUGCACAAUGGGGGAAACCCUGAUGCAGCGACGUCGCGUGGGUGAUGAAGUAUUUCGGUAUGUAAAGCUCUAUCAGCAGGGAAGAAACUGACGGUACCUGACUACGACGCCCCGGCUAACUACGUGCCAGCAGCCGCGGUACGACGUAGGGGGCAAGCGUUAUCCGGAUGUACUGGGUGUAAAGGGAGCGUAGACGGCGGUGCAAGCCAGAUGUGAAAGCCCGGGGCUCAACCCCGGGCCUGCAUUUGGAACUGUGCUGCUAGAGUGUCGGAGAGGCAGGCGGAAUUACUAGUGUAGCGGGGAAAUGCGUAGAUAUUAGGAGGAACACCAGUGGCGAAGGCGGCCUGCUGGACGAUGACUGACGUUGAGGCUCGAAAGCGUGGGGAGCAAACAGGAUUAGAUACCCCAGUAGUC
RNAcentral lists this ribosomal RNA (441 nucleotides) under uncultured bacterium. RNAcentral's name for it is "partial 16S ribosomal RNA". It matches the Rfam family "Bacterial small subunit ribosomal RNA", at positions 338 to 795 of the family's 1533-position model. The record is from RNAcentral.